RNAcentral lists this long non-coding RNA (425 nucleotides) under Homo sapiens (human). RNAcentral describes it as "HSALNT0393187". Lineage: Eukaryota; Metazoa; Chordata; Mammalia; Primates; Hominidae. The record is from RNAcentral.
UCUGUGUGUGCACCUACAUGCACAUGUAACAAAGUGAUAAUUUCUAUUUCCUUAGAUGUUUCAAAAUGUAUCUUGAACAUAUGACAAAUAUUUAAUGUUUUCUGGGUGACUACAUUGAAGCCUACCACUCACUUGGGACAGAAAAGUCAUUUUUUGGUGUGUGAUUAUACUUGCUAUCUUAUGGUCACAACUUUUAAAACUACAUAGAAGCAUUAAUAUUUUUAUUUUUCCUUUAGAUCCUUCACUGAAUUCAACCCAGUCUACUCAACAGUUCACCAAGAGUCUUGCUAUCUCCAAUUUCAGGAUAUGCUUUCCAUCACCAAUACCCAGUCAGCUUUCAAAAGUCAGACUACAACUGAAUCAAAGAAUUACACAAGAAAAGGGAAACUGAGUCAUCCUUCAGCAACUCCAGGAACAAAUCAAGG